GUAUGAAUAUUAGCUGUGUAUAUUUUAGUAGGGGCAGAUCUGAAAUAGCAAUUCAUUAUCAGAUUGAUCGUAUCAAGUAUAUGAUGUACUUCGAAUUCAUUUUAGCAUCAUUUAUAAUAUUUUUCGUCUACAUGUUCUUUCCAAAUAAACCUGC
Centruroides sculpturatus (bark scorpion) is the source of this 154-nucleotide long non-coding RNA. RefSeq lists it as uncharacterized. The record is from RefSeq and is a predicted model, not a curated record. NCBI's taxonomy places the organism in Eukaryota, Metazoa, Arthropoda, Arachnida, Scorpiones, Buthidae. The transcript has 3 exons.